This 68-nucleotide transfer RNA is filed under the name Allonautilus scrobiculatus. RNAcentral describes it as "tRNA-Gln". Lineage: Eukaryota; Metazoa; Mollusca; Cephalopoda; Nautilida; Nautilidae. The record is from RNAcentral.
UGUGGGAUGGUGUGGAGUGCACGAAAAGAUUUGGGUUUUUAGGAGAGGGUUCGAACCCUCUCCCACAA